This 253-nucleotide ribosomal RNA is filed under the name uncultured bacterium. RNAcentral describes it as "partial 16S ribosomal RNA". It matches the Rfam family "Bacterial small subunit ribosomal RNA", at positions 524 to 776 of the family's 1533-position model. The record is from RNAcentral.
UACGGAGGGGGUUAGCGUUGUUCGGAAUUACUGGGCGUAAAGCGCACGUAGGCGGGCUGUUAAGUCGGGGGUGAAAUCCCGGGGCUCAACCCCGGAACUGCCUUCGAUACUGGCAGCCUUGAGUUCGAGAGAGGUGAGUGGAAUUCCGAGUGUAGAGGUGAAAUUCGUAGAUAUUCGGAAGAACACCAGUGGCGAAGGCGGCUCACUGGCGCAUUUCUGACGCUGAGGUGCGAAAGCGUGGGGAGAAAACAGG